GAUGAACGCUAGCGGCAGGCCUAACACAUGCAAGUCGGACGGUAAAUAGUAGCAAUACUAUGAGAGUGGCAAACGGGUGAGUAACGCGUAUGCAACCUACCCUUAACUGUGGGAUAGCUCGGAGAAAUUCGGAUUAAUACCACAUGUUACUAUUGGAUGGCAUCAUUUGAUAGUAAAAGUUUUAAUGGUUAAGGAUGGGCAUGCGUGUCAUUAGCUAGUUGGUAAGGUAACGGCUUACCAAGGCGACGAUGACUAGGGGGUCUGAGAGGAUGAUCCCCCA
Molecule: ribosomal RNA, 280 nt
Filed under: uncultured Bacteroidota bacterium
Lineage: Bacteria; Pseudomonadati; Bacteroidota
Description: uncultured Bacteroidetes bacterium partial 16S ribosomal RNA
Rfam family: Bacterial small subunit ribosomal RNA
Source: RNAcentral